Molecule: long non-coding RNA, 1348 nt
Organism: Equus quagga
Lineage: Eukaryota; Metazoa; Chordata; Mammalia; Perissodactyla; Equidae
Exons: 4
Source: RefSeq, a predicted model, not a curated record
GUGUGUAGGUCUGUGCCUGGGAUCCAAACCAGCAAGCACUGGGCCACCAAAGCAGUGGUGUGCGAACUUAACCACUAUGCCACCGGGCCAGCCCCAGAAUAUGGUUUCUUAGAGCUGAUGUCACCCUUUGAAGGAGCAUUCUUCUGAGAGGUGUGGAAGAGAGGCUGCAAACAGCCCCUUCUCCUAUUAUUUGAAUCUUUCAUUUGGGAAACACAGCUUUCACCAUUUCAGGUGGCAUCUUCCAAUGGCACAGACCUUCCUUUCUGUGCCUUCUGCGUCUCGGCUGCACUCUGACCUCUGCUCUUUGCUGGGCUCGGCCCAUGUUUAACACUUGGUUUUGGUGGAGCCGUGAGAUUUCACCUGCAGAGACCCCGCGGGGCAAGACUCAAGGCCAUGAGCCCUAAGAUGGGGAACCCCACAUUUAAAAGCACCACCUGGUAGUAAACAUUCCCUGGGGAGGGAAUCUUGGCGUUUAUUCACUCAUCAAACAUCAUGAUGUGCCAGGCACUGUUCUGAGCACUUUACAAAAAUACGGAGUUAGUUCAUCCUGAUCACACCCCUCUGAGAUGGGCACUGUUAUUGCUGGUCUUCAGGUGCAGAGAGUGAAGCCCAGAGAGGUUAAAUAAUGAGCUUUGACUCUCACAGCCAGAAAAUGGGGAGCUGGGAGCCCUACCCGGUCUGUCAGCUCCAGAGCCCUUAGCCUCGUACUCCACUGGCUCGUGUUCACAUCCAGGGGGCUGUGGACCCCCACCGCCGAGGCACAUGGUACAGGGAGAGCUGUCUCCUUAUCAGUUUAGUUGCCACCUGGACAAAAAACAGAGUCACGGAGCGGAGCUGGUUUCAGUGGUCACGCGUCUAGGAGAUGCUGAGGCAUGCUGGCAGCCGGAUGUGGGGGCUCCGGUGCCCACCUGCCUCUUUCCAGGCUUCUCCUCACAAACUCGGCUUUGCCUGGUGAGAGUCUCAGGGAUCCUUCAGAGGCGGUGUGGGGCUCCUUUGCCUUUGGUGGAUAUGAGGUUGUUAUCAGCAACCUCGGGAAAUCUGAAUUUUCUUUCUUCCAGCUGCCCUUAUGAGAGCUGAGCUUGUGAUCGGCGUGAUGCUAAGCAUUUACUCGAGCUAUCUCACUUCACCAUCAGAACCACGGCCCUAAGUGGCAGGUCUGCUGUUGCCCCAUCUUACAGACGAAGAAACUGAGGCUCAGAAAGGAGAGUUUACAGGGGAAAAGAAGUUUUAAUAAAACAAAAAGGUAGAAGUGUAAAUUGGUGGACUUUUUGGAAGAAAUUUGCCACCCUCCAGCAAAAGCUGAAAAUCUUCGACCCAGUGAUGCCAGUUUGAGAAGAUAACCAAAGAA